CACCCAGAUGCCUGUGAACUAAGUGAUAUACACCAGAUUUAUUUAACUACUGGCAACCACUUUUUUUUUUCUUUGUAGGGCAAUGAGUUAAAAGAUUAUUUACCUCCCUUGGUUACAAAAAGAAGAAAUACUUCUUCCAAGACUCUGGGUAGCUGCGGCCAGUUCUUCCAGAGAAAUUAUUUACCUCAAAGAUUCAGAGCGCGGAGCUUGGAAGCCUUGGCCCACCCGACUCCUUGCCGCUGCACUGCAUGGGCACCUUCUGAGGGGAGAGGCUCUCGAAACAGAUCCCCAAUGACCUGACUCAUCAGCUUAACCAGUGCAGGUAAGUUAAUGUCUAGUAUACCUGAGCACUUCAGUUUUAACU
This 364-nucleotide long non-coding RNA is filed under the name Capra hircus (goat). RNAcentral's name for it is "lncRNA (ENSCHIG00000006369.1)". Lineage: Eukaryota; Metazoa; Chordata; Mammalia; Artiodactyla; Bovidae. The record is from RNAcentral.